GGCGGUGGCCGCGACUGGCGAGGGUGGAGGACCACCGGGGAGCGGCCGUGCAGUUCGGAGGAGCGCCGACCGCCUGGGCGCCUCAC
RNAcentral lists this non-coding RNA (86 nucleotides) under Streptomyces sp. Its description in RNAcentral is "ZTP sequence". It matches the Rfam family "ZMP/ZTP riboswitch aptamer (pfl RNA motif)". From Rfam's summary of the family: Previously known as pfl RNA. ZMP is also known as AICAR. RNAcentral also lists the same sequence under 1 other name. The record is from RNAcentral. Lineage: Bacteria; Bacillati; Actinomycetota; Actinomycetes; Kitasatosporales; Streptomycetaceae.